This is a non-coding RNA of Solenopsis invicta (red fire ant), 61 nucleotides long. The record is from Rfam. NCBI's taxonomy places the organism in Eukaryota, Metazoa, Arthropoda, Insecta, Hymenoptera, Formicidae.
CUCUUUGGUUAUCUAGCUGUAUGAGUUUUAUCCGACAUCAUAAAGCUAGGUUACCGGAGUU